Molecule: ribosomal RNA, 301 nt
Filed under: uncultured bacterium
Lineage: Bacteria
Description: partial 16S ribosomal RNA
Rfam family: Bacterial small subunit ribosomal RNA
Source: RNAcentral
CAGCCGCCGCGGUAAUACGUAGGUGGCAAGCGUUAUCCGGAAUUAUUGGGCGUAAAGCGCGCGUAGGCGGUUUUUUAAGUCUAAUGUGAAAGCCCACGGCUCAACCGUGGAGGGUCAUUGGAAACUGGAAAACUUGAGUGCAGAAGAGGAAAGUGGAAUUCCACGUGUAGCGGUGAAAUGCGUAGAGAUGUGGAGGAACACCAGUGGCGAAGGCGACUCUCUGGUCUGUAACUGACGCUGAGGAGCGAAAGCGUGGGGAGCGAACAGGAUUAGAUACCCCAGUAGUCCCUGUCUCUUAUAC